This is a non-coding RNA of Mus musculus (house mouse), 328 nucleotides long. The record is from the annotation of a RefSeq genome assembly. Lineage: Eukaryota; Metazoa; Chordata; Mammalia; Rodentia; Muridae.
AUGAAGAGGCUGAUGUGCUCUCUGCUGGGGCUUCUGUGCACCCAGGUUUGCUGGGUGAAAGGUCAGCAAGUGCAGCAGAGUCCCGCGUCCUUGGUUCUGCAGGAGGGGGAGAACGCAGAGCUGCAGUGUAGCUUUUCCAUCUCUACAAACCAGGUGCAGUGGUUUUACCAACGUCCUGGGGGACGCCUCAUCGGCCUGUCCUACAUUCCUGGAAUGAAGCCUACUGGAAAACAGACAUCCUCAACAGUCACUAAGGGACGUCACAGCUCUUUGACUAUAUCCUCCUCCCAGACCACAGACUCAGGCACUUAUUUCUGUGUUCUGAGUA